Molecule: ribosomal RNA, 392 nt
Filed under: uncultured bacterium
Lineage: Bacteria
Description: partial 16S ribosomal RNA
Rfam family: Bacterial small subunit ribosomal RNA
Source: RNAcentral
ACACGGCGGCUCCGAGCGUUAUCCGGAUUUAUUGGGUUUAAAGGGUGCGCAGGCGGCCAUUUAAGUCAGCGGUUAAAUCGUGGGGCUCAACCCCAUUCUGCCGUUGAUACUGGGUGGCUUGAUUGCGGUCGAGGUUGGCGGAAUUCGUUGUGUCGCGGUGAAAUGCAUAGAUAUGACGAAGAACACCGAUUGCGUAGGCAGCUGACCAGACCGCAAAUGACGCUCAUGCACGAAAGUGCGGGGAUCGAACAGGAUUAGAUACCCUGGUAGUCCGCACAGUAAACGAUGAAUACUUGUUUUCGGCGAUAUAAUGUCGGAGGCAAAGCGAAAGCGAUAAGUAUUCCACCUGGGGAGUACGCCGGCAACGGUGAAACUUAAAGGAAUUGACGGGG